Molecule: long non-coding RNA, 936 nt
Organism: Homo sapiens (human)
Lineage: Eukaryota; Metazoa; Chordata; Mammalia; Primates; Hominidae
Gene: TMEM277P
Product: transmembrane protein 277, pseudogene
Source: Ensembl
GUGGGAUGUCUCUCUCUCCCCCACUCUCUGUUUCCCUUUCUUUUUUUGUCCCCUCUCUCCAGGGCUCCUGAUUUCUCUUCAGCCUGACGCUCUUUUCAGUUAACGGCAAGGCGGUGCACCCAAGUCCGGUGGUGUCCUACCUGGUGACCUCCUACCUGUGCUGGGACGCCAGCGACUUGAUGCUGCACUCCGGAGCCGUGUCCUACCUAAGCCCAGUGGGCAUGUGAAGCAGAGGGCAGCCCUUGAAUGCGCGGCGGCUGAGCUACCGCGGGUGGGCCGUGCAGCAGGGCGCAGCGAGGCGGACAUCCAAACAGCGGAACUCAGACGCUGACUCCGAGCGCACCCCGGGCCUUCCCAUUUCAUACACCCUCGAGGAUGAGACCCAAGCACCUCCAAGGAAUAGCACCCGAGGUCUUCAGGACACCGACCGGUAGCCAUGGCCAGAUGCCCGGCCAACCCCUUCAGCGUGGCCACGCCCUGGAUAUUCGACCUCCCCUGAGGCCCCACCCCCUGAUAUCAGGCCACGCCCUCCGAGGGGACCGGUGGCAAACUCCAGCCCUCGCUCUAGGGCCCGCCCUUUGCGGCUUUGUCCCUGCCCACUGGGUCCUCACAGUACCUCCACCCCAGAGGCCCAGCAUCCCCUCCCGUUCUGCAGACACUUGUCCAGCGUCCCGCUGAGCUCGGCAGUGUGGCUAGUUUGUGUGGCCCUGCCCCUGGUGCCCAGCCAGGGUGGUCUGCAUGGAACUUCUUUCCCGGAGUUCCGGCCUCAGCUCCGAUGUCCACCCUUGUCCCCAGGUGGACACAGCACCGCCCAGCAUUUGGUGCAACUCCACCCUUCUGCAGAACGGGCCCCUCCCUGGGAAGGCAUGGCUUGCAAUAACAUCCCUCUGUACCUUUUCUGGCUUCCCCGCCACAAUAAAACCUCUCAGCCUCAGA